GUUUGAGGUCUUGUAAGGGAAACUGAAGGGAAUUGUGUGUUGAACAGGAUGGCUUAGACUUGCUCAACUUCUGAGAAUUGAGGCAAAGUGGGCAAUCCAGAUGUAUCACUUGACUUUCUGACUACUGGGAGAAUUUCCCUUCAUUGUUGCACACCAGGGAUAUCCCUCAGAGAGAAGAGAUCAAAAGAAGGAUGAUCCCCCCCACAGAUGUGCAAGUGACUAAUUCAGUCCAGAAGGAAACCAGGCCCCCGGCACAGUGUUGAGAGAAGACAGCACCAGCCAGCCUUGUAGCCUGAGAAGCUGUCUCCUCACCAGCUUUCUCCUCACCAACUCUUCAAAGAUCCGGUUGAUACUAAAUGCACAUGCUAAAAUAUGAUUCCCCAGUCCUGACCAAGCUGAAUCUCCUUUGUUACUCAUGGGGCAACAGGGACUUACCUGCCAGUGCAGGAGAAAGGAGAGAUCCUUUAGAACAGGAGCUAAGAUGCCAGGAGCUCACACAAAAUGCUUGAAGAAAGGGGCUUAGCCAGAAACCGAAC
This 536-nucleotide long non-coding RNA is filed under the name Pongo abelii (Sumatran orangutan). RNAcentral's name for it is "lincRNA". The record is from RNAcentral. Lineage: Eukaryota; Metazoa; Chordata; Mammalia; Primates; Hominidae.